CCGGCCUUGACAUGCCGAGAACUUUCCAGAGAGGGGAGGGUUCCUUCGGGAAGUCUGAACAGGGGGUGCAUGGGUUUUUUCAGCUUGUUUUGUGAGAUUUUGGGUUAAGUCCCCUAAAGAGCGCAACCCUUGUCCUUNGUUNCCAGCNCNUUGGGUGGGCACUUUAAGGGGACUGCCGGUGACAAACCGGAGGAAGGUGGGGAUGACGUCAAGUCAUCAUGGCCCUUUNGGCCAGGGCUACCCCCGUGCUACAAUGGUCGGUACAAAGGGUCGCCAAGCCGGGGGGGGGAGGUAAUCCCAUAAAACCGGUCUCAGUUCGGAUUGCAGUCUGCAACUCGACUGCANGAAGUCGGAAUCGCUAGUNUNG
Molecule: ribosomal RNA, 367 nt
Filed under: uncultured bacterium
Lineage: Bacteria
Description: partial 16S ribosomal RNA
Rfam family: Bacterial small subunit ribosomal RNA
Source: RNAcentral